UCGGGUGUCGUCUAACGGUAGGACGAAUGACUCUGACUCAUUUAAUCGUGGUUCGAAUCCAUGCACCCGAGCCA
This 74-nucleotide transfer RNA is filed under the name Gammaproteobacteria bacterium. RNAcentral's name for it is "tRNA-Gln". It matches the Rfam family "tRNA". From Rfam's summary of the family: Transfer RNA (tRNA) molecules are approximately 80 nucleotides in length. Their secondary structure includes four short double-helical elements and three loops (D, anti-codon, and T loops). Further hydrogen bonds mediate the characteristic L-shaped molecular structure. tRNAs have two regions of fundamental functional importance: the anti-codon, which is responsible for specific mRNA codon recognition, and the 3' end, to which the tRNAs corresponding amino acid is attached (by aminoacyl-tRNA synthetases). tRNAs cope with the degeneracy of the genetic code in two manners: having more than one tRNA (with a specific anti-codon) for a particular amino acid; and 'wobble' base-pairing, i.e. permitting non-standard base-pairing at the 3rd anti-codon position. Lineage: Bacteria; Pseudomonadati; Pseudomonadota; Gammaproteobacteria. The record is from RNAcentral. RNAcentral also lists the same sequence under 2 other names.